Molecule: RNA transcript, 11076 nt
Organism: Topomyia yanbarensis
Lineage: Eukaryota; Metazoa; Arthropoda; Insecta; Diptera; Culicidae
Gene name: lysosomal-associated transmembrane protein 4B
Exons: 10
Source: RefSeq, a predicted model, not a curated record
GACAGGGAUUAGUCAAAAUCGAAAACGUCAUUUGGGCUCACGCUGGCUCCAGAAAUCGCUUGCUAAUUGUCUUGUCUUUUCUAGGGUAAAAACCUGUAAAAAGUAGUUUGUCGAUUUUGUUGUUGAUGUUUCUGAAAUUAUAUUACACAACAGGUUGAAUGUAUUAUCGUCAAUAAAUCAUGUUCAGGAUCCGUCUUAAAAUGGGACCGUCAAUAAGAAGCAAAGAAUGGACCUGCUGUUUUGGACUUCAUGUUCGCACAGCAACGAUUAUAUAUGGAGUGUGGCAUUUGUUUCUGAAUGUUUUAGCAUUGGGUAUACUUUCUGUGAUUAUCAGAACUAACAACUAUCAUCUUUUGUUGGACGAUCUAAAUGAAGGCGACGACAAUGGAAACGAUUUAAUCGCUCCAAUAUUACCUACACCACUGAGUAAAGUAGAUCCAACCUAUGCAUAUCGUGACCACUUUCAGCAAACAGGACUACGUAGCAAUGACGUUGAUAUGAGUGGAUUGGUGUUCCUCUGCAUGAUUGCGGUUACACUAAUGUUGAUAUAUGGGGCUGUCAAGGGGAAGCCUUCACAUCUAUUGCCGUUUUUCUGUUUACAGAUAUUCGACUUCGCUAUUGUUACACUUACCGCUGCAGGGCACUUGUGCUACAUAAAAUCAAUGCAUCUUUGGAUAACUGAAAGUCAAAAUCGACUUCCAUGGCGAGAAGAGUUGAUUAAAUUAAACCCAAAAAUAUUGUCGGUGCUUGUACUGAUUGGGUUCAUAUUUUUUAUUCUUCUCAAAGCAUACGCGAUUGGAAUUGUUUGGCGUUGCUACAAAUGCUUAACCUUGCAACAGCGCAAUAUACGGUCUUUGUUACCAUACAUUAUUCCAGAUACACCUGAUAUUCCAAAUCUUCAUCAGGAACGUGACAAUAAUUCACUUUUGCCAGGGUACGAAGAAGCUAUCGCGACCGGGAUAAAGCAAGCACCUCCACCAUCUUAUGUGGUUGCUAUGGCGAUGAACAACAAAAUCACUGCUCAAUCUAAUUCAGUCGAGCCGUUAGCAUCACGCGAAAACAGUAGCAACGAUAACAACUGCUUGUAUCCUCCUUCAUACAACUCGAUCGACAACUCUUCCGAAUCAAACGCUGCAGUAUUCAACAAAAAUGUUUCAGUUAUAACCAUGGAAUCAACCUCAAUAGAUCGUGUAAAUGGUGUGCCAGGAACUGAUGCAAUAUCUUGCAGAAAUUUGCAGAUUUAUACUGCAUGCUAUUGCAUAAAUCGAUCUGGCAACCGCAAUACCACAAUAAUUCAUUCAACACUGUCAAAACAUCAGUCCUCAAACAGGAGAGUGUUGUGAAUCGAGACGGUCAACACUCGGUUUCUCGUGCAGUUGUCGUAGAGUGUAGAUAGCUGUAGCAAAUUGACGACCCAUUCGCGUUUUUCGACGGAACCGAGGAAAUAUACGAGUCGGUAAAGCAAGUUUUGCAGCUUUCGGACGAAUUUAAUCCAAUCAACCUGCUAACACGCUGCUGAGAAGGUAAAAAGAAAAACGUCUACUUUUGCGCAGAUAAUGAAUACAUCUAGUAUGGGGUGAUAGUUUAGUGUGACAAACGGAACAGAUUGUUCGUCUUCUGCUUGGCCCACGAUUGUUUCGGCAGUAUAAUCAGCUUCAUCGGGAAUGAAAGACGAGUGUCCAUCGGAAAGGACGAUCCGAUCAAACUGCUGUCUUAUAGCGACCCGACGAAUCCACCGGUACUAGAUGCGUUGAGCGAAACCUGUCAUAAGGAGGUUGAAAAUAACCAGUAAGCUCUAUGCUGCAGUACAGAGCGGAAGACGGUUUGAGGAUGAACAUCGUUGAUUGGCGUGUUGAGGCGUACGUCGAUCACCACGACAUGGUACACAUGCUGCGGAUGUGUCAAGAUAUGAACUGGCCGAGAGUGGACGAAAAAUUAAAGGCGUUUUUGCUUGACCCCGAAACUGAGUCAGGUUCUGACCUCAACUGGUAUCAGUUCAUACAUUUUGACAACAGUUGGGGUUAGAACAUGACUCAGUUUCGCUUCAAGCAAGAAUGACGUAAGACUGUGCUCUAUUCGCAAAGAAAAAAAGUUUGAGGAACGAAAGGAAGCUAACUGGAUCAGAUGACUUAACGAUUCCGUUGUAUACCUUUUGGAGACCGCUUAACUUGUUAAAUGUUUAUGUUCUUUAAACAACAUAAUUUCUAAAAUGAAUAAAUAUAUAGAAAUCCAUUCGAAAUUGUUUAAUAUGGGUGCGGGCUAGCUGGCAUACACUUAUUUAGCAUAUCGGGCAUUUAAAAUAGUUUCGAUAAGUGAUUCUGUAGGUAGGUGAAUGGACAACAAUAACUUUAGCUAUGCAGUAGAGUAUGCUAGCUAGGCUGAAUGACGGGUUCUAGGGAACUGUGCCUUACAGUUUUGGAGCAGCAUCGGAUGUUGUAAAUUGUUAUAAACUCCUAUUCGAUUGUUUUCAUGACGGUUCGGUAAAACCAAAUUGUUGCUGAAGCCGAUCAAUCAAGAUUGUCCAAUUAAAUGUAUCCGAAACCGACGAUUUUUGUAACUGCGCCAGAACCCACACGGUACGAUAAUCCGGAACCGACGUGUGGAAGGUAUCGCUAUAAACCUUAAGUUUUAUAACAUUUCUGAUAUCGUACGCAUCCUCGUCCGUAUCACCGACGUAGUUCUUUCCUUGAUUUGAAAAACAGUUUUCACUAUCAGGUACUCGUUAACACUAAUAAAAUUACGAUGUAGCCCAGCUUUGUGUACAUGUCGAUUGCCACCUCAUUGUUAACUUAUGGGUAUUGUUGACAGCUUGAUAUAGAUUUUUUAUAAAAUUCGUUAAGAUAAAUGUAUUGAGAAUUUUAUUGUCUGUUUGCUACUAAAUUAUUUUGCAAGGCAACAUGAAAGACGAUUCACAUGAUACAUCAGGCUUCCGUCACCGGUACAGAACGUCAAGAUUAGUUACAUGCAGUUAAAUGGAGGUAUUCACACACAAUAUGAACGGUACGGAACGUUUUGACGUACGGCACCUGUGAACGGGUACACGAGAAACGCAAUUAACUUAUCUUGACGGAACGGUGACGUUCCGUUGACGUUGACGUAAGCUGAUGUAUCGUCUGAAUCGUGCUUAAAAAGCUGUUUUAACCUUCCGGCAGUCGCGCUAGUGCACUGAGUGCACGCUGCUUUGAAAAUUUAGUGAAAUCGUCUUCGGGCAUCAGCGGCUGCUCGUCCAGUGGGCCAUAGGUGCGACUUCCAGAGGGUUAAACAAUAUUGAUAAACGUUUAUAUACGGCAUAUGAACAUGGUGACCAGAUCAAACAAGCAAAACCCCAGGACUGUCCCAGUCCACCCACCAUACCUCGUUCUUUUCAAUAGACCUUUCUCAUCCGACCUAACCCCCUUUUUUCUUAUUUUUAUUCAAAAGACUACACAUUUUUAAGAAUAUUUCCGUUGAAAUGAGACUAUUUGGAGCUAUCGUGAUUUUUUAAUGAUUUUUUUAAAUUUGAAAAAUGCAAGAAUGUUGAGUAUUUUUUCCACCUUUGCAAGAAUGGUGGGACUCAAAAUGUGUGUUUGGGCAACACUGUUUUGAAUAUUUUUGCUUGAGUUCCUGGCAACGCGGCAAAUGAAGUGGUGAGUCGCGGUACAAAGUUCAUUGGUUAUGUAAACAAACUAAAGUGAACAUCUCGGUGGAGAACAUGGCAUGAUAAUGUUUAACCUCACUUUUUUGACAGUUCAGAGAGAUUGUUUACAUGGUCUUGGAAUUUUUGUUGAUUCGAUCAUAGUAUGAGAAACUUGGUUUGAUUCGCUGCCAAAUGUUAACACUUUCCAAACAAGGUCGCUCAGCUGUAAUUUUUUAUUUGAUGUCGGCAUCAUACAUUGUUCCGUUAAAUUUAACAUUUUUACUUUUCUUGUACAUGAUUCAUUGUACAAGUAAGGAAUUUCUAGCCAAACAUUUGAAAAAGGCCCACUGCCAAAUGCAAACAAAUCGAAUUUUCAUGUUCUCUAUUAAAAUCCUGGGACAAAACCUGUGGAUAUAUGUUUUCUUUUUCUUUUUUUCUGUUCAUUUGAUCUCUUGUCUUGCAUAGCCACUCUUUGUUCCUCACAUAUUUUAAAUGGACUGGCUACAUUUGACAGUUCCCCCUGACUGCAUUUGACGGUUCCCUUUGGCUACAUUUGACAGCUCUCCCUGGCUGCAAUUGACAUUAGGUUUUUUAGUAUCCACACGUCACGUCCCAGUUAAAAACUAUCUAUCUGGCCAUGUGCAUAAACAUAACGCAACAAUGGAUUAUGAAUAAUUUUGUUAAUGAUUUUAUAACAAAUUAUAAAAGGGCCCGGCUGAUAUAAAAGUCCUAACUAGCAAUACGCUUAUUAUAAAAUGAUUAUAAAGGAUUAUUGUAACUGAUUCCAAAAGGAUUAUAAAGGCAGUGACAUACGUACUCAAUGAAUUAAGGUGAGUGUCUGAUGUAAACAAUAUGCGCAAUCAAACUAAAUAAAACAGUAUUAAAUUUUUAAAUAGAAUUAUAAUGAAUUCGACCAAAACUUCUUUUGCUUUUUUCUCAAGGUUUACGUUUGGCAGUUAGACCCUUUUCAAAUGUUUCAAAUAUUUGGGUAAAAUUUAGAUUAUUUUAUCGUUGUUGCGAUCAAUUUCAUUUGGUUUGGUUUGUUCACAAUAUUAGUCGCAGAGCGUUUUGGUGACCUAUGACAAUUGAUGACCUUUACACCCCAUACUAGGUCCGCUCCUGUUGCAGCUGUUUCGCCCCGUCCGACACCGAGUCAACCGAUGUCCAGCCUGCGCCGCACUCGUCUGUCGCUAUGCCAAUGGCAGGGACUUGGAUUAAAGGCUAAAAGGUCAGCUACGGCUGACCUUGCUGCAAUCGGUUUGCCUUCGGCCACGUUGGACAUUCGGCUAACGGGAAUAUUCAGCGAUUCCGAUUCGAAGGAAGCUGCGCCAGUUGCAGACUGCUUCGGUUCAGCAAUACGCUCCGGUAUCGGACGAAGCUAACACUCCGGCAGGACGAAGGUUUCAAUGAGGGGCUCAGGCAUAAGUAGCAGAGUCCUUGCACUUACUGCUUGUCGAGUGAACAAUUCCGACGAAACCACAGCCACUCUCGCCAAGUUUGAUCACCGUUAUAAGUGCGACGUCAGCGGUAUAGUGCCAGGAAUAAUCGAGAAGAGUGCCAGGACUAACUUGCCAAGAGCUACAAGAUUAAAUAGCAGAGCGUUUUUAAAGUGGCCGUAGUAUAACGUAGAGGCUUUAGGCAUAUGAUUUAUUCAGCAGAAUAAGAUAGCAAAAUUAUCCAAAACAUAAGAGCCGGCUGCCGAAGUGAAUCCACACACAUCAUCACCUACAGAGGCAAGCAAUAUUGGAACGCAGCGAAAUUCCUCACAAUGAAUUGACCUCGUUAGAUGAAAUUCCAGGAUGUACAAUUUUCAUAGCAUAAUUUAAUCGACCGAAAUUGUAGUCCGAGAGAGAGACUGAUAGGGUAGCAGCAGCUAGGAAUUUUCUUUCGAAAGCUAGCAGUGGUUUCGCGUAUCCUGCGCUAAGUAGAGAGCGUUAAGACAGAUCUCCGAAGCAUGUCAAGUGCUAUCAGAUGAGAAAAAACGUCGCAUAUAUGACCAGUACGACAAGGACGGUCUGCUGACCAACGGUUUCGUCCGGUACCACCAUAACACACGGCACCGGCGACACAUAUAUUCACAACAUACUAAAUACUUAUCCUUCCGAAAAAGUAAAUAAAUUGACUAUGAAAUUUAUCAUUCGCUGCCUAGUUAUUUCGUGCCAAUUUGAACACGACAGCAGUUGCAGAAAGCUUUAUUGCGGUGCCAAAAUGAUGGCAACUUGGGAUAUAAUAUAAAUUUACAUAUAAUUUCUCCUCCCUGAUAUUCUAUCAGAAUGUUUAAUGCUCUGCAUUAUUAUCACUCCAAUCAAAUCCUUCUUACUCCUUAUCGUCAGUGCCGAGCGCUAUUUUGCAUUUGCCGGCUGAAUCAACGACAAUGCGAUAAUCCACCAUACUUUUGCUGUAAUGGAACUUGAACACGAAUAAUAAAUAAUUGUUCCAUUCGAAAGCGAUAACCUUGUUGUCCUCAUGUUUGCAGCUAUCAUACGCUGGUAGGCAUUCUGACCAAUGGAAGCGUUCUUCGAUAUGGGCAUUGAACGAUCAAAAUCAUUUCAACAACUUAUCAUCGAUCGAAUUCGUUACCUAUAAAGUUCAGGUAAACUUCACCACCUAAAAAUGAAUAAUCAAUCGGAUCAUCUUGUUAGGAAUUAACCCACGAGCAAACAAACAAAUGUGUACAAAUGUGAUAAGGAUCCAUCAUCCAGAAAGCAAUCGUUUUAUAGCCCAAUGCUUGAUCUUGCGAUUCAGCAUAUGCCACUGGGUUUUACAUCCAGCGCCGAUUGAUCAAUGUAUGAACCAGGUUACCAUUGUUCCAAUCCUCAUCCCUCUUGAGUUGAUAUUCUUUCAAAGAGCAUCGAAAGUAUUCAAGUAAUGUAAAUUUUAAAAGUCCGUGUAAACAAGUCUUAGGUAAACAAGCACACCAAAACUGUCAGAAAAGUGAGGUUAUACAUUUUCAUACAAUGCUCUAUAUUUUUGACAGGUAUAUGAAUGAAUCAUUUCAGCAUCAGUGAUGCCAGGUCUAUUUAAACAAUAGCCUGCAGUAAAAAUAUAAAAGUCUGCAGAUUGCUACAAAAAUGUUCAAUAAAUGCGACGUAGAAAUGUAGUAUGUAUAUAAUUUAAAUGAUCAAAAAUGUUGAAGGCUUGUGUAUAAAUUGGCUGGCAUAAGCUUUUUUCUGCUAAAUAUUUGUAAUCUGCAAAAGAUCUGCAGUAAAAAUUAAAAAGAUUUACUAAUAUAUAUGCAGAUCUGGCAUCCUUUUAAUAUUCCCCACAAGAAAUUCAUCCAAAUGGUGUAAAAAUACGGGGAAAUAAGGCAAGAUAGGUAUUCAGAAUAUGGGGUUAAAUGAGCAGCUUGCACUAUUUUUGAUUUUUUCAAUAGUUAGAGGUACCAAAUCAUCGUGGCAAUAGGCAGUAACGAAUUGGGGAUAAAAAAGGAAGCAUCCUAUCAUAUAAAAUUUUUUGACGAGAAAGGUCUAUUCAUCACAAAAAAUCUCGCUAUCGAAGCGACUAAACUACAGCACUUGCAAGUCAGCAACGGACGUGUCUUCGUGGGCACCGAUUCCGCUCAAACAGCACAGGACAUAGUACAAGAACACAACAUGAAGCACCGGCUAGAACACGACGGGAAAUCCUACAGCAUUCCACUGUCACUGGAAGAUGGAUCUAUUGAGGUUAGAGUUCAUGACCUCCGUCCGAGCACAAUGAACAGGCAGCUAGCAUACCGGAUGCGUGAGUACGGUGAAAUCAUGUCAAUCCGUGAUGAAGUCUGGAAAGAUUUCUUUCCUGGUGUCCCAAAUGGAGUUAGGAUAAUGCGAAUGAAACUUGUUAAACCGAUACCGUCAUAUGUGACGGUGGACACGACUAUGACUCUCAUAACCUACAAAGGUCAAGUCGCCACAUGCAAACAUUGCAAUCGACGAGUUCACUAUGCUCAAAAGUGCUCUGAGUAUGCAAAAUCCAUGAAGCCGAGCGUCAGCAGUCGUUUAACACUGGCCGAAAUUGUGAAAAACGGUGACAGCCGGUCGUUUCAGCAGCAAACUUUUCGUCAGCCAAAUGCCAGCUCCGCAGGGUUAAAAAAGGCGCACCUCACCAUGGGUCAAACAUAUCUUUAGCUGGUAGUGAUACCGCAAUGGUAGACGAGCCAUCACCUCAGAGCAGUGGUCAGCAACAAGCAGAGACUAUUAGUACUUCCCAAUCUACGAACGAUUGUCAAAUCGUAAAAAUUACGAGUCCGUUUGCCGGCUUUGCAGACGAAAGCAACGAAUUCAAAAUGAAAGGAAGAACAACGAAAAAAGACCGUCCCGGCUCGAAACAAGGCUAGAGCCACAUCUCACUCGAUCGACUUCGCGCAACAAACAAUAAGCAGGAAAACCAACCUAAACCAGCCUCGUCAUAUCAACAACAAAAAAACGAAUGUGAUAGUUUAUUCCUCUCCGACUUCCACCACUGCUACCUAUAACUGGUUUCAUCUCUGCCAAAAAAGGAGUGCUAACUUUUUACCUGCUCUCGCCACCGAUGUAUUUCGAAACAACCGUAAAUUCCAACACAACGUAAAAGAUAGAAAUCUGCAGGAACCAUUGUCAAUUGCCUCGCAACAAACUAGAUCUGCAAGCAGAGAUUAUGGUUGCCCUGGUAAGCAUUUUGGACAGUAUAUGUCCCGUCGAAGCAAAUUUAGAUACUGCCACCCUCAGCAAGUUUUCACCGUUCCCAGCUCCCCCGUGGCUGCUGAGCCCUGCUACUAUUCGUCGUGUCAACCAAACAUGAACAAAUGCAUCAUCCUAUGACCGCUAUUAUGGAGAUUCCAGCCAGCUAAGUGCUAUCAAUCACAUUAAAGGGAAAAUGCUAUCGCUUCAACGAAACUACACACAAAAAAUAUGUUGUAAUUUUAAAUGUAUUUCCAUGCACAUAUUUAGAGCAUGAAUAUAAAUGUAAAGUUAAGUUCCCUCGCAAAUAUACACAACUUGUCGUGCUUUCUUCAACGAAUUUUACUAUAAUUUUACAUGUUGAUUGAAAAUAACAGUUGCAUUAAACGGCAAACCAAAGCACAUUGGUGUAUUUUAAAUCCAAUAUUGCUGUAAAAUAUGUGACAUGUAAUAUCACAUGAACGAAAGUGUAAAAUCUUAUGCUUUUUGAUGCUCCUAUUGAGUGCAUCGAAUUCUACUUAAUUUUCAAUCAAAUUUUUGAUUCAAGCGUUGUAUGUUUACAUUCGUAUUGAUUUACAUGUCAUUUAAAUUUCAUUAUUUUUUGGUGUGUAUGCACAACAAACAAGGAGUUGGAACGAAGCAUACAUCGGAGGCGAAAGUACAUCAAUAUUCCACGUAGCAAAUCAAAAGACUCGACGAGCUGAAACUUCGAUCAAAACGCUGCAGAUUGACGCUGAUACCAUAAGGGAGCCUAAUGAAAUACGCCAAAGCGUACAGGAAUAUUUCGCGAAUCUGUACUCUGUACGCAUACUACAGUAAACGAAAAUUUCAACCCAACACAACGCAUCGCAAACGACAAUGAGGACAACCAGCGUAUAGCGUAUAGUGAAUGAAAGCAAGCAGCUCACGCAAAUCUCCUGGUAUUGACGGUCUACCAAAGGAAUUUUAUUUAAAAUCGUGGCAAGUAAUUCAGCGAGAGUUCACCUUUAUAAUAAAUGAAGCCUUGUCCUCUCAAGCCCCUAAGGAGUUUUUUGACGGUGUCAUUGUGCUAGUCAAAAAGAAGAAAAGCGACGACAGCAUAAAAUCGUACAGGCCGAUUUCACUUCUGAACGCUGACUACAAAAUCUUCACUAGGAUACUGAAGAACAGAAUAAGUCCCCUCCUUCCACUGGUGUUAUCAAAAAAACAAAAAUGCUGCAACGGAAAGCGAAACAUUUUUGAGGCUACCGCCCGCAUACUGGACCGCAUUUGUGAGCUAAAACAACAGCAUGGAAACUCGAUGUUGGUAGCAUUUGACCUCGAUCAUGCCUUCGAUAGAUUGGAGUACAACUUUCUUGCAAGAACCAUGGAACAAAUGAAUUUCAAUCCGAAACUGAUAAACCUCCUCAUGUUCUGUAUGAAUAAUAGUUUCUCGAGAGUUCUGGUCAACGGUAAAUUCGGAAAUGAGAUCAAAAUUCAAAGGUCAGUGCGCCAAGGUGAUCCACUCUCAAUGAUUCUGUUUGUCAUCUACCUACAACCAUUGCUUGAUAACAAUUCCUCGCGCAGUAUUAAAUGCAAAGACAAUUCUCUCGCGCAGUAUUAAAUGCAUAUGCGGAUGAUAUCUCUAUGUUCAUCGAAAGUGAAUCUCAGUUACUCGCAAUCAUAAACAUCUUUGCUGACUUCACAGCUAUUUUAGGAGCAAAACUCAACACCCAGAAAACAAAAGCCUUGAGGAUCGGUUUAUUGGAUAUGACACCACAAAGUGAGUGGUUGCAAACGCAGACUUCAGUGAAAAUUCUCGGAAUACCCUUCGCGGAAGACUUCUCGAGCACGGUUGAACAAAUUUGAAUUGCGGUACUACGGGGAGUACAAACAUGUAUGUGGAUGAACAACUCCAGAAAUCUAAAUCUCAUACAGAAAAUAAUUUUGCUGAACACGUUCAUAACGUCGAAAAUCUGGUUCACGGCAUCAGUGAUCCCCCUACCGAAUAAAUACGCUGGAAAAUUCAUUUCACGGAUCGGCUCCUUCCUGUGGUACGGGAAGAAUUGGACCAGAAUUGCCUUCGAAACUUUAAUACUACCAAAAUGCCAAGGUGGUUUAAAUUUACAUUCACCGUCCUUCAAAGCAAAGGCCCUGCUAACCAACCGCAUGAUACAAAUCGGAUCGGAUCUACCCUUUUUGUGGAGUUUUCUGGAGCACAACGCAAAUCCUCCAAAUUUGUCGUGCAUUCCACGAAAAUACGAGCACAUCCGAACAGUAGUCAAAAAGACAGCAUUCCUGACCGAAGAAAUAGCUAGAGCACCGGAUUCAAGUACAAUAUACCACCACUUUUUAAAACAGCUAAAGGAGCCAAAAAUAGUACGGGAAAAUCCUCAACGUGAUUGGAAGACUAUCUUUAAAAACAUUCACUCCAAAUUUUUAAACUCACACCAACGAUCAAUGUGGUUUUCUGUGGUACAUCGCAAAAUUGUAACCAACGAGUUUUUGUAUAGGGUGAACAGGAGAGCUGACCCUAACUGCAACAUUUAUCCUGGUCAGACGGAUAGCAUCGAGCACCACCUAUUUAAAUGCAGCGAAAACAAACUCAUUUGGACUUACCAACGAAGCGUUUUUCUGGGCAUGGAUCGACGGCUUUUACAGCUGCAACAUGAGGACUGGAUAUACCCGGUUUUCCAACAACAAAAUAGACGCACCCGCCAGCAAAUCCUCAAGAAAUUUCGUCAAUGAUAUGCUACAUGACAAGCGUACCAGCAAAUGAGAAGAAUGUAAAUAGCUAUAAGUUUUAUUUGACAUGUAAUUAAAAAUUAGAAACCAGGACAAUAAAAGUUUUACAAAAAAAAAGUG